RNAcentral lists this ribosomal RNA (207 nucleotides) under uncultured bacterium. RNAcentral's name for it is "partial 16S ribosomal RNA". It matches the Rfam family "Bacterial small subunit ribosomal RNA", at positions 568 to 774 of the family's 1533-position model. The record is from RNAcentral.
CACGCAGGCGGUCUUGUAAGUUUGACGUGAAAGCUCCCGGCUUAACUGGGAGAGGUCGUUGAAGACUGCAAGACUUGAGGCAAUGAGAGGGGUGUAGAAUUCCCGGUGUAGUAGUGGAAUGCGUAGAUAUCGGGGGGAAUACCAGUGGCGAAAGCGGCACCCUAGCGUUAGCCUGACGCUCAUGUGCGAAAGCGUGGGGAGCGAACG